CAUUUAUAAAGGUUAUAAUCCUUUUCUUUUUA
RNAcentral lists this transfer RNA (32 nucleotides) under Drosophila melanogaster (fruit fly). Its description in RNAcentral is "partial tRNA-Met". Lineage: Eukaryota; Metazoa; Arthropoda; Insecta; Diptera; Drosophilidae. The record is from RNAcentral.